UACAGAGGUCCCAAGCGUUGUUCGGAUUCACUGGGCGUAAAGGGUGCGUAGGUGGUGAGGUAAGUCGGAUGUGAAAGCUCGGAGCUCAACUCCGAAACUGCAUUCGAUACUGCCGUGCUUGAGGACUGGAGAGGAGACUGGAAUUUACGGUGUAGCGGUGAAAUGCGUAGAUAUCGUAAGGAAGACCAGUGGCGAAGGCGGGUCUCUGGACAGUUCCUGACGCUGAGGCACGAAGGUCAGGGGAGCAAACAGG
This 253-nucleotide ribosomal RNA is filed under the name uncultured bacterium. RNAcentral's name for it is "partial 16S ribosomal RNA". It matches the Rfam family "Bacterial small subunit ribosomal RNA", at positions 524 to 776 of the family's 1533-position model. The record is from RNAcentral.